This 389-nucleotide ribosomal RNA is filed under the name uncultured bacterium. Its description in RNAcentral is "bacterial SSU rRNA". It matches the Rfam family "Bacterial small subunit ribosomal RNA", at positions 28 to 419 of the family's 1533-position model. The record is from RNAcentral.
GACGAACGCUGGCGGCGUGCUUAACACAUGCAAGUCGAGCGGUAAGGCUCCUUCGGGAGUACACGAGCGACGAACGGGUGAGUAACACGUGAGCAAUCUGCCCUUCUCUUCGGAAUAAGCGUUGGAAACGACGUCUAAUGCCGAAUACGACCUCCUUUCGCAUGAUCGGAGGUGGAAAGCUCCGGCGGAGAAGGAUGAGCUCGCGGCCUAUCAGCUAGUUGGGUGGGUAAUGGCCCACCAAGGCGACGACGGGUAGCCGGCCUGAGAGGGUGACCGGCCACACUGGGACUGAGACACGGCCCAGACUCCUACGGGAGGCAGCAGUGGGGAAUAUUGGACAAUGGGCGAAAGCCUGAUCCAGCAACGCCGCGUGAGGGAUGACGGCCUGG